CUGGUCAGUGGGAAUCCGCUCCAUCCCCACUGCACUCCAAAGGCCGUGGCUGCGUCGGAAUCGUCUCCAGAGAGCGAAUGGGGUGGUGCUUCGUCCAUCUUGGGAGGGGGCUGCGCACACAUCCACUUCCAUCUCUCCCUUACAGGGUCUUGUGCUGUGCUCUUGGAUCUCUCCGCUCUUUUCCUUCUCCUUGAGGAUGCGAAAAAGUGCCUUGCCCUCUCGUAAGGGGGGCAAGUCGCAGGUAUUUUUUCCGGACGGCUCCCGCCCGCAGUGACGUACGGUCGUAUAUAUGCGUGUGGGGCGCGCUAGCUCUCUCGCUCUCCUCCUUGCUUUGAGGAGGAUGCCAACUGGUUUUACUACCUUAUCUCUGAGUUCCAGUCAGCCCCACCCCGUGCCCCGCCCUCAUCGUGCCCGCCGCCGAGGUUCGGCAUGCUGGGUAAAGGAAUAGUGAGGGGGAUCUCUUGCAUUUUCGUAGAGUUCAUCCAAAGGAUAAGCAGCAGCGCUGUAGGGGAGGGGCACUGAAGCCGGCUUUCCUCCUGCCUCUCGACACCCGACACCUUUGCUAAAGCCGCCCAUAACAGGCCAGAAAACGGGGGAUGGAACCCCGCAAGCCGAUGUGCUCCAUCUGCUCUGCUCUCCUCUGAUCUUUCCUAUCUGUUGCUCUCUCUGAUCUCACCCUAG
This 681-nucleotide unclassified non-coding RNA is filed under the name Leishmania donovani. Its description in RNAcentral is "gene:unknown". Lineage: Eukaryota; Euglenozoa; Kinetoplastea; Trypanosomatida; Trypanosomatidae. The record is from RNAcentral.